This 371-nucleotide ribosomal RNA is filed under the name uncultured organism. Its description in RNAcentral is "partial 16S ribosomal RNA". It matches the Rfam family "Bacterial small subunit ribosomal RNA", at positions 527 to 896 of the family's 1533-position model. The record is from RNAcentral.
GUAGGUGGCAAGCGUUGUCCGGAAUUAUUGGGCGUAAAGCGCGCGCAGGCGGUUCUUUAAGUCUGAUGUGAAAGCCCACGGCUCAACCGUGGAGGGUCAUUGGAAACUGGAGAACUUGAGUACAGAAGAGGAAAGCGGAAUUCCACGUGUAGCGGUGAAAUGCGUAGAGAUGUGGAGGAACACCAGUGGCGAAGGCGGCUUUCUGGUCUGUAACUGACGCUGAGGCGCGAAAGCGUGGGGGAGCAAACAGGAUUAGAUACCCUGGUAGUCCACGCCGUAAACGAUGAGUGCGAAGUGUUAGGGGGUUUCCGCCCCUUAGUGCUGCAGCUAACGCAUUAAGCACUCCGCCUGGGAGUACGGCCGCAAGGCUG